AAUAAUGUUAUCAAGCACAACAACUAAUUAGCACAAUUAAAGCAUAUAAGCAAACAUAAAAUGUAGAUAAACUAACAUUCAUGCAAUAGCAAUUAUAAAGCACUAAAAGUAAUUCAAGCGUUAAGAACACAAAUAAAAAAAAAAUUAUGCCAAAUAAUUUAAAAGCCAGAGUAUACAUGAUAAAUAAAUAAACUGAUCUACAGCUCAUUGAGAUCUGCAGUAGGAACACUGACACGAAGUGCCCUCCCAAUUACCAACCAAACUUUUAAACUGACCCA
This 278-nucleotide long non-coding RNA is filed under the name Mytilus galloprovincialis (Mediterranean mussel). The record is from RNAcentral. Lineage: Eukaryota; Metazoa; Mollusca; Bivalvia; Mytilida; Mytilidae.